This 1941-nucleotide small RNA is filed under the name Pan troglodytes (chimpanzee). RNAcentral's name for it is "retained intron". The record is from RNAcentral. Lineage: Eukaryota; Metazoa; Chordata; Mammalia; Primates; Hominidae.
GGAAUUAUACAGUGGUAAACUACUUGGUGAAACCAUGCUUUGUAUUUUUAAGAUGUAUAAUUAUAUUUAAAAACAAGCAAUGCUUAAUUUUGUGCCUGAUUUUCCUCUUUAAAAAUGGAUUUAUCUGGGGGUUGCAGUUGAUGACGUUUUGAUUUUAAUAUGUUUGCUGCUGCUACCAAGAGCUUUGUCAAGCAAGUUGGAGAUGGAGGGAGAUUAGUUCCUGUUCCAAGCCUCAGUGAAGCUGACAAAUAUCAACCUCUAAGUCUGGUGGUAAAAAAGAAGCGAUGCUUUCUGUUUCCUAGAUAUAAAUUUACUUCAACACCUUUUACACUGAAAGAUAUUCUCCUAGGAGACAGAGAAAUUUCAACUGGUAAGUUUAAAUGUUUGGGAGUGCCAACUCAUUCAUCUGUAUUAUUGGCAACCUAAACAUAGGUCAUAUAUGCUACUUAUGUUAGUAUUACACAUUUUCAAUGAUUAAAGCAACUUUUAUUAUGAUGUUAGUGUAAUAACAUUAUUAAGAUUAACAAUGCCAAAAGUUUGUAUAAUAUCAAAUCUCUUAUUGGUCAAAUAAUUUUCAAAUCUAUCAAUUAUUUUAUAAAUUGUUUUAACCAAAUCAACUUAGAAUAUGACAUAUUUCUUCAUCUAUAAAAUGGGAUAUUAUUUGGGCUUACCUAUGUUACAUGGUCAAAUGAGAUGAAAAUAAUUUGUAUUUAUUUUUUACAAUUCAAUUAUUACAAUUGGUAAACUGAAAUGUAUUGAAGGGUAGGUUAUAUAAUAAGCUGAUAUUUUGAUGAGUUACUACUUAUAAACGCUUAUUUUUUCUUUUAAUUGCCUGGUGGAUCUUGAUGCUUAAGAAGUUCUGUUGGCUGAAUAGAAAAUUUGAGUUCCUUUUAAGAAUUCUGGCUAUGUGUUUCUUUUUGUUGUAAGAUUAAUUGAAUUACUACUUUAAGUCUUGGUGAGUCAUGUUGCCUUUCUCUAACAUUUGGGUAUUUGAGUCUUCAAUUGUAAAUUAACAUGUUACUAUAUAUAAUCUACAUAAGAUAAAGAUGUUUAAAAAAUACUGAGUUUCUUCUUAUAAAGGUAUUUCAUCUUAUCAAUUACUGAAUUAUGAAGAUGAAUCAGAUGUUUCACUCUAUGGAAGGCGAGGUAACCAUAUUGUAAAUGACGUUGGGAUUAACGUUGCUGGAUCAGAUUCCAUUGCAGUGAAAGCUUCAUUUGGUAUAGUAACCAAACAUGAAGUGGAAGUAUCAACAUUACUCAAAGAAAUUACUACACGAAAAAUUAACUUUGACCACAGCUUGAUACGUCAGUCAAGGAGCAGCAGAAAGGCAGUAUUGUGUGUGGUCAUGGAGAGCAUCCGAACCACACGACAGUGCUCACUGUCUGUGCAUGCUGGAAUUCGAGGGGAAGCAAUGCGGUUUCACUUUAUGGAUGAACAGAAUCCCAAGGGAAGGGACAAAGCUAUUGUUUUCCCAGCACAUACAACCAUAGCUUUCAGUGUUUAUGAACUCUUCAUAUACCUGGAUGGUGCCUUUGACCUUUGUGUCACUUCAGUGUCAAAAGGAGGAUUUGAAAGGGAAGAAACGGCAACAUUUGCACUGCUGUACAGGUUGAGAAAUAUCCUAUUUGAAAGAAAUAGAAGAGUGAUGGAUGUCAUUUCUCGUUCACAGCUUUACUUGGAUGAUCUUUUUUCUGACUACUAUGACAAACCUCUCAGCAUGACUGAUAUUUCACUCAAAGAAGGCACCCAUAUCCGAGUUAACUUACUUAAUCACAACAUUCCCAAAGGGCCUUGCAUACUCUGUGGAAUGGGGAACUUCAAAAGGGAGACAGUUUAUGGGUGCUUUCAGUGUUCUGUUGAUGGUCAGAAGUAUGUGAGACUUCAUGCAGUUCCUUGUUUUGAUAUUUGGCACAAGAGGAUGAAAUAAAAUGAAAAAUGAA